CAUUAAAUCAGUUAUCGUUUAUUUGAUAGUACCUUACUACUUGGAUAACCGUGGUAAUUCUAGAGCUAAUACAUGCUGAAAACCCCAACUUCGGGAGGGGUGUAUUUAUUAGAUAAAAAACCAACGCCCUUCGGGGCUUCUUGGUGAUUCAUGAUAACUUUACGGAUCGCAUGGCCUUGCGCCGGCGACGGUUCAUUCAAAUUUCUGCCCUAUCAACUUUCGAUGGUAAGGUAUUGGCUUACCAUGGUUUCAACGGGUAACGGGGAAUUAGGGUUCGAUUCCGGAGAGGGAGCCUGAGAAACGGCUACCACAUCCAAGGAAGGCAGCAGGCGCGCAAAUUACCCAAUCCCGACACGGGGAGGUAGUGACAAUAAAUACUGAUACAGGGCUCUUUUGGGUCUUGUAAUUGGAAUGAGUACAAUUUAAACCUCUUAACGAGGAACAAUUGGAGGGCAAGUCUGGUGCCAGCAGCCGCGGUAAUUCCAGCUCCAAUAGCGUAUAUUAAAGUUGUUGCAGUUAAAAAGCUCGUAGUUGAACCUUGGGUCUGGCUGGCAGGUCCGCCUCACCGCGUGUACUUGUCCGGCCGGGCCUUCCUUCUGGAGAACCUCAUGCCCUUCACUGGGCGUGUUGGGGACCAGGACUUUUACUUUGAAAAAAUUAGAGUGUUCAAAGCAGGCCUUUGCUCGAAUACGUUAGCAUGGAAUAAUAGAAUAGGACGUGCGGUCCUAUUUUGUUGGUUUCUAGGACCGCCGUAAUGAUUAAUAGGGACAGUCGGGGGCAUCAGUAUUCAAUUGUCAGAGGUGAAAUUCUUGGAUUUAUUGAAGACUAACUACUGCGAAAGCAUUUGCCAAGGAUGUUUUCAUUAAUCAGUGAACGAAAGUUAGGGGAUCGAAGACGAUCAGAUACCGUCGUAGUCUUAACCGUAAACUAUGCCGACUAGGGAUCGGGCGAUGUUCUUUUUCUGACUCGCUCGG
Molecule: ribosomal RNA, 974 nt
Filed under: Phaeosphaeriaceae sp.
Lineage: Eukaryota; Fungi; Ascomycota; Dothideomycetes; Pleosporales; Phaeosphaeriaceae
Description: SSU rRNA
Rfam family: Eukaryotic small subunit ribosomal RNA
Source: RNAcentral